UACGUAGGGACCAAGCGUUGUUCGGAUUUAUUGGGCGUAAAGAGCUCGUAGGCGGCUUAGCAAGUCGGGUGUGAAAACUCCAGGCUCAACCUGGAGACGCCACUCGAGACUGCUAUGGCUAGAGUCCGGUAGGGGACCACGGAAUUCCUGGUGUAGCGGUGAAAUGCGCAGAUAUCAGGAGGAACACCGGUGGCGAAGGCGGUGGUCUGGGCCGGCACUGACGCUGAGGAGCGAAAGCGUGGGGAGCAAACAGG
RNAcentral lists this ribosomal RNA (254 nucleotides) under uncultured bacterium. RNAcentral's name for it is "partial 16S ribosomal RNA". It matches the Rfam family "Bacterial small subunit ribosomal RNA", at positions 524 to 776 of the family's 1533-position model. The record is from RNAcentral.